This 440-nucleotide ribosomal RNA is filed under the name uncultured bacterium. Its description in RNAcentral is "partial 16S ribosomal RNA". It matches the Rfam family "Bacterial small subunit ribosomal RNA", at positions 338 to 795 of the family's 1533-position model. The record is from RNAcentral.
CCUACGGGAGGCAGCAGUGGGGAAUAUUGCACAAUGGGGGAAACCCUGAUGCAGCGACGCCGCGUGAGUGAAGAAGUAUUUCGGUACGUAAAGCUCUAUCAGCAGGGAAGAAAAUGACGGUACCUGACUAAGAAGCCCCGGCUAACUACGUGCCAACAGCCGCGGUAAUACGUAGGGGGCAAGCGUUAUCCGGAUUUACUGGGUGUAAAGGGAGCGUAGGCGGCAGCGCAAGUCUGGAGUGAAAUCCCAUGGCUUAACCAUGGAACUGCUUUGGAAACUGUGCAGCUAGAGUGCAGGAGAGGUAAGCGGAAGGCCUGGUGUAGCGGUGAAAUGCGUAGAUAUUAGGAGGAACACCAGUGGCGAAGGCGGCUUACUGGACUGUAACUGACGUUGAGGCUCGAAAGCGUGGGGAGCAAACAGGAUUAGAUACCCCAGUAGUC